AUCCUACGGGAGGCAGCAGUGGGGAAUAUUGCACAAUGGGCGCAAGCCUGAUGCAGCCAUGCCGCGUGUAUGAAGAAGGCCUUCGGGUUGUAAAGUACUUUCAGCAGUGAGGAAGGUGGAUAUGUUAAUAGCAUAUUCAUUUGACGUUAGCUGCAGAAGAAGCACCGGCUAACUCCGUGCCAGCAGCCGNGGUAAUACGGAGGGUGCGAGCGUUAAUCGGAAUUACUGGGCGUAAAGCGCAUGCAGGUGGUUUGUUAAGUCAGAUGUGAAAGCCCGGGGCUCAACCUCGGAAUUGCAUUUGAAACUGGCAAACUAGAGUACUGUAGAGGGGGGUAGAAUUUCAGGUGUAGCGGUGAAAUGCGUAGAGAUCUGAAGGAAUACCGGUGGCGAAGGCGGCCCCCUGGACAGAUACUGACACUCAGAUGCGAAAGCGUGGGGAGCAAACAGGAUUAGAUACCCUGGUAGCGUAG
This 470-nucleotide ribosomal RNA is filed under the name uncultured bacterium. Its description in RNAcentral is "bacterial SSU rRNA". It matches the Rfam family "Bacterial small subunit ribosomal RNA", at positions 335 to 798 of the family's 1533-position model. The record is from RNAcentral.